GACAGUGUGGCAUAGUGCUUUGAGUGCUGGACUCCGACUCUGGAGACCAGGGUUUGAUCCCCAGUUUGGCCA
Molecule: non-coding RNA, 72 nt
Organism: Phrynosoma platyrhinos (Desert horned lizard)
Lineage: Eukaryota; Metazoa; Chordata; Lepidosauria; Squamata; Phrynosomatidae
Source: the annotation of a GenBank genome assembly